Ribosomal RNA from Sinocyclocheilus grahami, 117 nucleotides. Lineage: Eukaryota; Metazoa; Chordata; Actinopteri; Cypriniformes; Cyprinidae. The record is from Ensembl.
ACUGGCAGCCAUAUCACCCUGUAGCCCAAGAUUGGUUACCCACUGAAGCUAAGCAGGGUUGAGCCUGGUCAGUACCUGGAUGGGAGACCUCCUGGGAAAACUAGGUUGCUGCUAGAA